GCCGGAGUGGCGGAACUGGCAGACGCGCGGGACUCAAAAUCCCGUGGCCGCAAGGCCGUGCGGGUUCGACCCCCGCCUCCGGCACCA
RNAcentral lists this transfer RNA (87 nucleotides) under Deltaproteobacteria bacterium. RNAcentral describes it as "tRNA-Leu". It matches the Rfam family "tRNA". Rfam says of the family: Transfer RNA (tRNA) molecules are approximately 80 nucleotides in length. Their secondary structure includes four short double-helical elements and three loops (D, anti-codon, and T loops). Lineage: Bacteria; Pseudomonadati; Myxococcota; Myxococcia. RNAcentral also lists the same sequence under 1 other name. The record is from RNAcentral.